CGCCUUAGUGUGUGGCCAGCUCUUGGAGGCAAGGCAGCGCUCCCGCCCAGCGUGUGAGGCGGUUUCUGUUGGCAGUCUUCGUCCAGCCUGAGAUGAGGAGGGAGGAGGCACGAGGCUGUCUUUCCGUCCCCCCACACCUACCCUGGCAAGGACAGCUCACUGACACUUAAGGGGCGGUUGUGUGGCCUCGACGUGCACACAGGACAGGUGACGGGCGGGGAUGAAGCUACUACCUCCACCACCAUCACCACCAUCGGCGUGAGCGGAUGCAGCAGUAAUCCAGCACUUCACCUGCACCAGUUUUCCAAGGCGUUGGCUCGGACCUUUAGUGGCGGUGUUCCCUUGCGACUACUGCUGGACUUCAGCUCCCGAGCCUUGCUUGAUCCGCACCUGCACAAAGACCAUCUCUCACCUGAUUCACCAAGCCUUGUCUGCACGAGCCAAAUGCUCAGUCUGUUUUCUCUAUCAAGAGAGCAAUAAUUAAGGCCUUUCGUCCCACGCAAUGGCCCAUUUCCGAAGGCUCCACACAGCUGUUUUGCACACUUCUCUCAACUCCCUCGAGUAAAACAACAUCACAACACUAACGUUUUCCAAGAACAAAGCCGACCCAAGCAACCAAACACUGCCACAAACCGAAACAGCAGCAUGACCCUCCACAGCUGGCAGCCACAUUAACCAGCGGCCAUAAACCAUCACAACACGGCCGGGAUGUCACGAAGCCGAAACAGUAGCGGCGCCGACCUCUCCAGGCGGUCGCUGCUGCCAUUAUCCCCGCCACCCCCGAGACAUUUGUAAAUGACACUUGUAAUUACCCACAUUAACUACAGUGUGUGUCAAGAAUAAGUACUGGAGAACAGGAUUAUAUAAACAUGUUAACUCGGUGACGAAGGAGACCGAUGGUGAGGAGGGGGGCAGAGGGAAGGGGUCUUGUUUGGUUAGCUGAAAGACUAGUCAGGCGGGAAGACUCGAGCUUGUAAGACGAGGGAAAGGAAUGGCCCGUAGUAAAGACUCCCCGUAGUACAUUGUAUUUUAUGAAGGGGCACGAAGUGAGAGGUAUUCAGACGCAAAGAAAAACGGUAAGGAAGGAAGGGGAGGGCGUAACUAGAAAAUGGAUUGAGGGAGAUGGAGAGAUUGAGGAGAAUGAGAAGAGAAGAGAGAGAGAUCAACCAACCAUCUUCUCUCUCCUUCACGACACACAACAGGCAAGAGAGGGAUCACUCCUUCAUUUGCAACAGAGGCGGCGAUGGUGGUGACGGUAGUGGUGAUAGUGGUGGUGGUGGUGACGGUUCCCUAUACGUCUCCAGGCCCUCCCAGCCCUUCCCGCCCCUGCAACAUUAUCAACAUCUCAUCAGGAGCGUCAUCAAAGGGCUUGUCGUCUCCGUUUCAUUAAUAACACCGACUUGCGGUUCCACCAGAGUCCGUCUUCGGUUACGCCUCGUUGGCCAAUCAGGAGGAAGGACGAACACACGACGUCACCAUUGGUCCGUGGAGAGUAAAUAACAUCUUAAGCAAAAGUCUGGCUGCCAUUCAUCAGUUUAGUGACAUAAGUUAUUGGGGAGACGCAUGCACGCUGACGAGGAAGAGGGAGAGAUGAGCGAGGGGAAGGAAGGGAGUGGAGGGGUGGAAGUGGCAGUGGGCGUGGCGGAAGGGGACGGAAGGGGCUUGGGUAUGGUGAUGCAGUGUGAGGAUUUAGGAAGGAGAGUGGAAGAGAGGGGUGUGUGGCAGGGCGUGGGGAGGAUAUAUAUACCGUACACAGGAGGGAUAGACGCAGGAAACAAGUGUAGGUGAGGAUAAGGAAAAUAGGUGUUAUUAGGUGGCAGGCGAGGUGAAGUGGGGGCUGGAGGAUAAAGAAUAAAGGCAAGAAGAAAGGUGGAUUAAUUGAAUAGCAGAGAAAGAAUGAAAGAAGAAGGAAUAAUGAAUAAGGAGCGAAAAGAUGGGGAGAAAACAAAGACGACAAAACGAACAGGAGAAAGUGUGAAAAGCAGGGAAGAAGACAACAGAAAAGGGAUAAAAGGGACGAAAGGAAGGGCUGAAAAACAAAGCAGAAGAUAGCCGGAAACAAAUAAAAGAAAGGAAAAGGAAAAAGUGAAAUAAUUUAGGGAAAUAGGGUGGAAGGGUAAUAGAAGCAAGUAGAAGUGAAGUAAAAGCAGGGAAGGGGAGUGAAAGAAGCAGGAGGCAAGAAAGAAGAGUGAAGACGAGAGAGAGAGAGAGAGAGAGAGAGAGAGAGAGAGAGAGAGAGAGAGAGAGAGAGAGAGAGAGAGAGAGAGAGAGAGAGAGAGAAAAAGGGAUGAGAAUCACGAGGCAAGGCUGAGGCAGGAAACAUCGGGGCCUUGAGUGAGGCGGGGCUCCUUGGCGGGUCAGCUGAGAGAAGCUACACUCUGGUAAUCGUUAGCAGAUGGUGGCCACAAGGUGUGUCUCCUUUUUUACACAUUUUAAGAGACUGUGUGUGUGUGUGUGUGUGUGUGUGUGUGAUGGCAUUAGUGAAAGUUACAAUCUAUUCCUAUAAUCACUGGUCCGUAAACCCCACACACACACACACACACACACACACACACACACACACACACACACACACACACACGAGGACUAUGAUUACUGAGUCCUCAGUGCCUGACCGAAAUGGAGUCGUAGCAGUACAGAGGGGUAGUUCAACAGUCGCCGUGAGACUGAUGUGGGAACUGCCCUUAUUUAUGUGACAGGGAGGUGAGCAGCGCGGCGCCGCCACCACCACCACCUUAUAGCCAUCACUUCCAAUCUCCACCUUCCUCCUUUUUCCUUAUUCUGCUUUUCCCUUGCAUUCACCAUCAUCUUCCUUGUCUUCCUAUUCCUUGUGUUGUUGCUUCUUGAAGCGAAAGCAACGAGUUACCACUGGAGGAGGCAUAACACCACACACACACACACACACACACACACACACACACACACACACACACACACACACACACACACACACACACACACACACACACACACACACAGAGGUUUAAGUCAAGGAUGAAAGAGGGACAAAAUGAGUAUCAUAAACAAGACAACCAUUAAAAGACUUCCAUUAACAACAACCAGAAGUAAACACAAGCGGGGAUUGUCUGUGUGUGUGUGUGUGUGUGUGUGUGUGUGUGUGUGUGUGUGUGUGUCCUACCCUUAACACAUGCUCCCUGGGACCCCACAAGUAGUCUAGAUGUGCGGAGGUCGUCAGUUUACAGGAGGGAGGGAAGGAAGGAAGGAGGAGGAGAAGAAAGGAGUGGCAGUAGGAGAGAAGGAAGGACGGAAGGGAAGAAAGAAGGGUGAAUGAAGGAGGAGAGAAGGAAAGCAGGAAGGAGAACAAAGAAGUGUGUAGCAAGACAAGAUGAGAUGAAAGAGAGAGAUGAAACAACAACACUAUUUGUAUCUCUACUCACAUAAGCGAAGAUCAAGAGAAAGAAAAGAAUACAAGUAAUGGAUAAGGAGCUUGAAAAGUGAACUAACUGGAUCUUACGAAGAGGAGGAGGAGGAGGGGGGAGGAGGAGGAGGAGGAUGAAGAUGGUGGUGAUAGUCGCGGCAGCAGGACCCAGAGUGUAUCACUUUCAGUUAAUUGCAUUUCAAGUUGGGAGUGUGUGAGGCGGUGUUGUGGCCCGGCCCGCGGCUUGCCUGUGACUGACGCUCCCCGGACCAAUUAUCUCAUUUUUUCUGACUUUUUAAUUUUACA
Long non-coding RNA from Scylla paramamosain (green mud crab), 3685 nucleotides. RefSeq lists it as uncharacterized. NCBI's taxonomy places the organism in Eukaryota, Metazoa, Arthropoda, Malacostraca, Decapoda, Portunidae. The record is from RefSeq and is a predicted model, not a curated record. The transcript is spliced from 5 exons.